GCACUGCUGAGGAGUCCCAUACCAGGACGAAACUGCCGUCCAGUGU
RNAcentral lists this non-coding RNA (46 nucleotides) under Schistosoma margrebowiei. The record is from RNAcentral. Lineage: Eukaryota; Metazoa; Platyhelminthes; Trematoda; Strigeidida; Schistosomatidae.